GAUGAACGCUGGCGGCGUGCUUAACACAUGCCAGUCGAACGGGAAUUAUUUUAUUGUUACUUCGGUCGAUAUGCUUUAAUUCUAUUGGCGGCCGGGUGAGUAACUCCUGGGUAACCUGCCUUGUCCAGGGGGAUAACACUCAGAAAUGGCUGCUAAUACCGCAUAAGCGCACAUAGCUGCAUGGCUCCGUGUGAAAAACUACGGUGGCAUAAGCUGGACCCGCGUUGGAUUAGCUUGGUGGCAGGGGAACGGCCUCCCAAGGCGACGAUCCAUAGCCGGCCUGAGAGGGUGAACCGCAACAUUGGGACUGAGACACGGCCCAGACUCCUACGGGAGGCAGCAGUGGGGAAUAGUGCAAAAUGGGGGAAACCCUGAUGCAGCGAAGACGGGUGAAGGAAGAAGUAUCUCGGUAUGUAAACUUCUAGCAGCAGGGAAGAGAUUGACGGUACCUGACGAAGAAGCCCCGGCUAACUACGUG
Molecule: ribosomal RNA, 478 nt
Filed under: uncultured bacterium
Lineage: Bacteria
Description: partial 16S ribosomal RNA
Rfam family: Bacterial small subunit ribosomal RNA
Source: RNAcentral